CCUACGGGCGGCUGCAGUGAGGAAUAUUGGUCAAUGGGCGUAAGCCUGAACCAGCCAAGUCGCGUGAGGGAUGAAGGUUCUAUGAGUUGUAAACUGCUUUUGUACAAGGGUAAACCUGAAUACGUGUAUUCAGCUGACAGUACUGUACGAAUAAGGAUCGGCUAACUCCGUGCCAGCAGCCGCGGUAAUACGGAGGAUCCAAGCGUUAUCCGGAUUUAUUGGGUUUAAAGGGUGCGUAGGCGGAUUGAUAAGUUAGAUGUGAAAUGUCCGAGCUUAACUCGGGAACUGCCUCUAAUACUGUUGAUCUAGAGAGUAGAUGCGGUAGGCGGAAUGUAUGGUGUAGCGGUGAAAUGCUUAGAGAUCAUACAGAACACCGAUUGCGAAGGCAGCUUACCAAUCUAUAUCUGACGUUGAGGCACGAAAGCGUGGGGAGCAAACAGGAUUAGAUACCCCAGUAGUC
RNAcentral lists this ribosomal RNA (460 nucleotides) under uncultured bacterium. RNAcentral's name for it is "partial 16S ribosomal RNA". It matches the Rfam family "Bacterial small subunit ribosomal RNA", at positions 338 to 795 of the family's 1533-position model. The record is from RNAcentral.